Molecule: ribosomal RNA, 492 nt
Filed under: uncultured bacterium
Lineage: Bacteria
Description: partial 16S ribosomal RNA
Rfam family: Bacterial small subunit ribosomal RNA
Source: RNAcentral
AGUGAACGCUGGCGGUAGGCCUAACACAUGCAAGUCGAACGGCAGCACAGUAAGAGCUUGCUCUUACGGGUGGCGAGUGGCGGACGGGUGAGGAAUACAUCGGAAUCUACUUUUUCGUGGGGGAUAACGUAGGGAAACUUACGCUAAUACCGCAUACGACCUACGGGUGAGAGCAGGGGAUCUUCGGACCUUGCGCGAUUGAAUGCGCCGAUGUCGGAUUAGCUAGUUGGCGGGGGAAAGGCCCACCAAGGCGACGAUCCGUAGCUGGUCUGAGAGGAUGAUCAGCCACACUGGAACUGAGACACGGUCCAGACUCCUGCGGGAGGCAGCAGUGGGGAAUAUUGGACAAUGGGCGCAAGCCUGAUCCAGCCAUACCGCGUGGGUGAAGAAGGCCUUCGGGUUGUAAAGCCGUUUUGUUGGGAAAGAAAAGCAGCAGGUUAAUACCCCGCUGUUCUGACGGUACCCAAAGAAUAAGCACCGGCUAACUUCGUG